Molecule: small nucleolar RNA, 138 nt
Filed under: Ornithorhynchus anatinus (platypus)
Lineage: Eukaryota; Metazoa; Chordata; Mammalia; Monotremata; Ornithorhynchidae
Source: RNAcentral
GACCUUUCAGGGUCGAACCUGGAGAGUUUCCAGUCCUCUACCAGUCACGACUACAGGAGGGAGAGUCAAGCAGAGGCCUGCCCAUUCCAUUCCUAGCUUGGGCAGUGGCUAGCGAGUGGAAGGCAAUCUGCUACGAGU